Molecule: ribosomal RNA, 1530 nt
Filed under: Bacteriovoracaceae bacterium
Lineage: Bacteria; Pseudomonadati; Bdellovibrionota; Bacteriovoracia; Bacteriovoracales; Bacteriovoracaceae
Description: bacterial SSU rRNA
Rfam family: Bacterial small subunit ribosomal RNA
Source: RNAcentral
UGCUUGGAGAGUUUGAUCCUGGCUCAGAACGAACGCUGGUGGCGUGCCUAAUACAUGCAAGUCGAACGAGAAAGUCCUUCGGGAUGAGUAGAGUGGCGCACGGGUGAGUAACACGUAGGUAACGUGCCUAUUAGUGGGGGAUAACACAGGGAAACCUGUGCUAAUACCGCAUGUGAAAGUAAUUUCAAAGGUGGCGUAAGCUAUCGCUAAUAGAACGGCCUGCGGCGUAUUAGCUAGUUGGUGGGGUAAUGGCCUACCAAGGCGACGAUACGUAACUGGUCUGAGAGGAUGAUCAGUCACACUGGAACUGAGACACGGUCCAGACUCCUACGGGAGGCAGCAGUAGGGAAUAUUGCGCAAUGGGGGAAACCCUGACGCAGCAACGCCACGUGAGUGAGGAAGGUCUUCGGAUUGUAAAGCUCUGUCCUUAGGGAAAAAUGGUCAUGAACCUAAUAGCUCAUGGCUUGAUGGUACCUAAGAAGAAAGCACCGGCUAACUUCGUGCCAGCAGCCGCGGUAAUACGAAGGGUGCAAGCGUUGUUCGGAUUUAUUGGGCGUAAAGCGCGCGCAGGCGGAUGAGAAAGUCAGGUGUGAAAUCUCGGGGCUUAACCCCGAAAUUGCGCCUGAAACUGUUUAUCUAGAAUAUUGGAGGGGAUAGGGGAAUUUCUCAUGUAGGGGUAAAAUCCGUAGAUAUGAGAAGGAACACCGGAGGCGAAGGCGCCUAUCUGGCCAAUUAUUGACGCUGAGGCGCGAAAGCGUGGGGAGCAAACAGGAUUAGAUACCCUGGUAGUCCACGCCGUAAACGAUGAGUACUAGUUAUGGGGGGUAUAUUGACUCCCUCUGUGACGCAGCUAACGCUUUAAGUACUCCGCCUGGGAAGUACGGUCGCAAGACUAAAACUCAAAGGAAUUGACGGGGGCCCGCACAAGCGGUGGAUUAUGUGGUUUAAUUCGAAGCAACGCGCAAAACCUUACCUAGGCUUGAACUCCUGUGAACUCGGGGUAAUGCUCGAGGUGCCCUUCGGGGAAUACAGAGAGAGGUGCUGCAUGGCUGUCGUCAGCUCGUGUUGUGAAAUGUUGGGUUAAGUCUCGCAACGAGCGCAACCCCUAUCCUUAGUUGCCAGCAUUAAGUUGGGCACUCUAGGGAGACUGCCUGGGUUAACCAGGAGGAAGGUGGGGAUGACGUCAAGUCCUCAUGGCCCUUAUGUCUAGGGCUACACACGUAAUACAAUGGCGCGCACAAAGGGAAGCGAACUCGCAAGGGGGAGCAAAUCUCAAAAAGCGCGUCUCAGUCCGGAUUGAAGUCUGCAACUCGACUUCAUGAAGUUGGAAUCGCUAGUAAUCGCGGAUCAGAACGCCGCGGUGAAUACGUUCCCGGGCCUUGUACACACCGCCCGUCACACCAUGGGAGUUGUUUUCAUCUUAAGACGUAACUCUAACUUCGGAGGAGAGCGUCUACGGUGGGAGCGAUGACUGGGGUGAAGUCGUAACAAGGUAGCCGUAGGGGAACCUGCGGCUGGAUCACCUCCUUU